GCUUUGCUCAGUCCACAACUCCAGCUUGUGAAACAGUGCUGCCCACUCGGGCCGGUGCUUCCUACCUCAGGAUAAUCGGGACGGCCCCUCACAGGCCAGCCUGAUCUAGACAAUCCCUCAUUGAGAUCCUUCCCAGCUGAUUCUAGAUUACAUCAAGUUCAUGGGGUGGGGUUGGAGAGAUGGCUCAGCAUUUAAGAGCACUGGCUGCUCUUGCAGAGCACCUGGGUGGAAUCCCAGCACACCCACGUGACAGCUCAAAACCACCUGUAACUCCAGUUCCAGGGAGAGGAUCUGGCAUCUGGCCCCCACUGAAGUUGGCACCGGGGACAAAAAGCGACUUUCAGCGGCCAGGUCCCCAGCGGUUGGAGGCGCCUUGCGGCAGCAGGACCCCACAGAUCCACACGCGGAGCAUCCUACUGUGUGCCCUCCCUCCGGCGGGAAAGGUGUGGACCCGAGCCCAGCGCAGCCUGGGAAGUCUGAGCUCCAGGGAUGAGACUGCCAGCAGGCUGAGCCCCGGGAACCUGCUGGAGUAUCGUGGGGACAUGGCAUCUUGGCUCUGGAGAAGGCUUCGUGGCAAGAAGCAGUCAGUGAUGGCGUUCUGCCUCCUGAUGAUCCUGUCUGCGGUGACUGUCACUCACCUUCCUCCGGAGCAUCCAGCGUCCACCCCGGGACUUGGUCCCAUGGAGCCCCAGGAGAAAAUCGGCAUGCCUGAGCCCAACAUUUGGCAGACUUUGAACUCUAGCCAGAGGCAGCGAGCAAGAAACCUGGGCUUCGGGAAAGGUCGGGCUUUGCCCAGAGAGUCCGUCUUGGUCUGUGCCGAGAAGCAAAGCCACAGAGUGCGAGUGGACAGAAGCAGACACCCACGGAGGGUCAGGAGAGAUGCUGCUUGGACAGGAGGUCCAACACUCAGUGCCCAACAUCGUGUGCAGGAGAACGAGGUCAGAGAUGCAGGAGGCACAGACCUGGACCAGCCUGAGCAUGGUGGUCCUGUCCAAGAAAGGCAGAAUAAGACAGACACCCUAAUUAGGCCACUCCUAGGGAGCAGCCUGGCAACUUUCCAGGCAUGGAGAGGUACCGCUGCACUGAGUUUAGAUGGGAACUCCCUGUCAGGAGUCAAGGACAGAGUCUUGACUGGCGGGAAGGCUGGGGGUAUCACCUUAGGUCCAGGGACUCAUUGGUGGCCUGGGACCGUUGAAGAGCUGCAAAGGUCCCCAUGGUGCCGUACUGAGACCCCUGGGUCAUUGGCUGCAGCUGGGGAGCAGGUUCCACCGUGGUUCACAGAACACGACGUCCAGACUCUCUGGUUACUGGCCCAUGGGGAGGUGGUGGGCAAAGCCAGGAUUCCCGCCCAUGGGCAGGUGCUGCAGGUCGGACUAUCUGCUAUGGGUGCUCUCCAGGACGUGUCUUCUCUCAGGCUCAGCCAGCUCUGCUCCCAGGGCCUCUGCGGCCUCAUCAAGAGGCCUGGAGACCUGCAUGAAGUCCUAGCCUUCCACGUGGACCGUGUACUGGGACUCCGACGGAGCCUGCCUGCUGUAGCCCGGAGCUUCCGCAGCCCUCUUCUGCCCUACCGCUACACGGAUGGUGGUCUGAGGCCCGUCAUCUGGUGGGCGCCCGACGUGCAGCACUUAGGAGACCCAGAUGAGGACCAGAACUCUCUAGCCUUGGGCUGGUUGCAGUACCAGGCCCUGCUGGCUAGCGGCUGCAGCUGGCCAGGCCAGAGCCUAUGCCUGGGCAUCCACCACGCUGAGUGGGCACGUUUGGCCCUCUUUGACUUCCUGCUGCAGGUCCAUGACCGCCUGGAUCGCUACUGCUGUGGUUUUGAGCCCGAGCCCUCAGACCCCUGUGUGGAAGAGGGGCUUCGAGAGAAAUGUCAGAACCCAGAUGAGCUACGGCUGGUGCACAUCCUGGUCCGGAGCAGUGACCCAUCUCGUUUGCUGUUCAUAGACAAUGCUGGCAAUCUUCAGCAGCCUGAGGACAAGCUGAACUUUCGACUGCUGGAAGGCAUAGAUGGGUUUCCUGAGUCCGUCGUGAAGGUUCUCGCAUCAGGGUGUCUACAGAACCUCCUGCUCAAGUCGCUGCAGAUGGACUGGGUGUUUUGGGAGAGCCAAGGCGGAGCCAGAGGUCUGAAGCACAUCCUAGAGACACUGGAGAGGCGAGGGCAGGUCCUGCUGAGACACAUACAGAGGCACAACCUCACGCUGUUCCGGGACAAGGACCUGUGAGUCCACCUCUGUCUGGGCAGAGCACACCUUGCUGGAGGACUUCCCAUGACAUAAGCCUGGCAUGCAAUGCCCACGGAAGUCAGGAGAGGUCGCUGCAUCCUCUGGAACUGGAGCUACAGAUUAACUGUGAGCUGCUUCCUGAGUUCUGGUAACUAAAGUUGGUUUCUCUGGGACAGCAGGUGUUGCUUUUACUGCUGAGAAAUAUUUCUAGCCCUUCGGAUAAAUAUUUGUAUGAGUCUUUAAGGGGAAAAUCAAAUUUUAAAUUUUAUUUUUAAUUCCUCAUUUAUGGUGGUGUGUAACCUUCAUUGUUUCUGGGGAAGACGGUUGAGUGACAGCUACAGCGAUGUCUCCAUCUUACUCCUGACUUUAAUGAGAGCAUGCCUAUGUCUCACUGCUGACUGCAAUCAGCAUGACCACGCACAACCCAGGUCAAAUGUGACUUUAUGGAUAUCCCCUAUGGAUGUGCUCCGCUUCAUGGCCUCUGUGUGAGACACUGCCUGUGCAAGUGGGCACGUGUUCCCUCCACAGCACUGUUCCUAGCCCACUGUGUCAUCUCCCUUGACAAGCAAAAUGAAAGAGCUGGGUACUCACUGCCAACUUUGCUUCCCGUUGUCCAAGACUUGCCAAGACUAUCUCCCUCUGAGCUGUCAGCUUAAGGUGGCUCCUAAGGCCACCCCCAAAUACAGGCAAUUGCCCCUGUGUUAGUUUACCACCAAUGCUAGAUGCUAAACCCCUACAGUUGAAGACACCAAACAUCUGUCCCAGGACAGAGACAUCAAGUUGGAACUGGAAGCUUCCUCCCUGCCCACCAACCCUCAUAGUGUUAUAAAGUGUUACGCAGGGUUCUGGGAGAAUAACAAGUCUUACAUGGCAGCAGACUCUGCGUGCAACACCAGCCUGCCAGACAGGAUGCGCCGACUGAUGCACUACAAUAGUAGCGGGUCUGUCACGGGGCAACCAACUGCUUUCUGAUUGGCUCUGAGGCCCACUCCACAGGUUUGACAGUAUAACCUGUUAGAAGCCUGUGGUUGGGUACGUCAUGGGCCCCAAUGGGGAAGCUGCUGCUGUUAUGUUUCAUGGAUGUGACACACCCAUGAAACUGUCUUCUUUCACGCCUGUGGACCAGGGCUGCUGUCAGCUUUGGGAGGGCGUCCUUUUGUGGCGGCCAGCAGUACCUGCAGACUGAUACAUGGUUAAAGUGCUGGGGACAAGCGACUAUUGGAUGCCCAUCCGUGGGGCAUCGACCUCAGUCUCUCCAGGGAACACCAUGACAGUGGCAAUAAUGAUGCAGGGGAUGUGGGACACCGACUUCUGGGCAUUCUUGACCUCACAGCAGCUGCAAUGACCAACACAAGAUGGGGGUCCAUCUCCACCCCAUCAUAGAAGUGGGAUGAGCGCAUGGGACCUCACCCUUCACUGAGGAUUAUAAUCAUUGGAUGAAGGGAGCCAUUUUCUUCAGUUGGGUGGUCGAUGGCAAGGCCUGUGCAAACAAACCCUCUUCCGUGUGCAACUCAUUGGCUCAAAUAAAGACACACACAAAAGGACAUGAAAAUAGGAGGGGUGGGCUGGAGAGAGGAAAGGGUCAGUAGGAAGGGGAACAGAAAAGUUUAACAGGGAGAACGGAUUGGAAUGUACCAUAUAUAUGCAUGAAAAUGUCAUGAAA
Non-coding RNA from Myodes glareolus (Bank vole), 3885 nucleotides. The record is from RefSeq and is a predicted model, not a curated record. NCBI's taxonomy places the organism in Eukaryota, Metazoa, Chordata, Mammalia, Rodentia, Cricetidae.